Glycine soja is the source of this 1180-nucleotide RNA transcript. RefSeq lists it as uncharacterized. The record is from RefSeq and is a predicted model, not a curated record. Lineage: Eukaryota; Viridiplantae; Streptophyta; Magnoliopsida; Fabales; Fabaceae. The transcript has a single exon.
GAAGUCUAAGAAUAAUAAUAAAAUGUUGAUUUGUAACUGUAACCGAACAUGACAGAAUCUCUGAAAUGGUCCAAAUGACCACACACCACUCCUCUAUUUGUCCGCCACCACUUCCUCCAUCACCAGUGCCACUCUUCCUCCUCUCUGCGCUCCCAACACUCUCUUUCUUCAUUCUUCUCUUUUCUUCGCUCCCUUUCGCGCCAACUCUGAUCGGUGUUCCUUCCCUCCUUUCGCCUCCUCCUCCCGCCUCAGAUGCAGACCACUCCCUCCCUUCUCUUGCAUCAGAGGCUGCCCAUGGAUUUCCCUCCCGCUUUCAAUCUCCUCACCGAAUUCGGUUGCGGCUUCGUCCUUCUCCGCUCCCUCUCGCGCAUUUUCAAUCUUCUAGGCCUCUUUCUCAUGCUCACCUUCUGCUUCAAGCUUCUGCGCUUCGGCUGGAACACCAAGGGCUCCAUUCGCUUCCUCUGCGACUCCGGCGGCAUCCCCAAACUCCGCUUCUGCCUCGAUAACGUCGCUCGGGAAAAAGUCUCCAAAGCAAAGACCAAACCUUUGAAAAAACCGCGCCACCCAACUUCGAGCUCUUCCUUCCGGAGGCGGCCCAAUGGGUCCGGGGAGAGAGGCAACGCGGUUUCGGAUGAUGAGUCGGAGGGAAAGGUAGAGAACGAGAGAGAGGGUUGCAAUGAGGACGAGGUGUUCGACGUAAUGACGCUGAGAAGAAUCGUGAGGAUGGAGCGGCAGAAGGCCAAUGCGGCGUGCGCAGACCUCGAGAAGGAGAGGACGGCGGCUUCCUCAUCUGCGGAGGAGGCGAUGGCGAUGAUCCUGCGGCUGCAGAGCGAGAAGAGCGCGGCAGAGAUUCAGGCAACGCAGUUCCGGCGGAUGGCGGAGCAGAAGCUGGAUUACGACCAGGAGGUGAUUGAGUCGUUGCAGUGGACGAUCACGCAGCACGAGUUUCAGAAGUGUGAGGUGGAGGAUCGGAUAGGGAUGUGUAAGGAGGAGCUGAGGCAGUUUAUGAGAGAUGAUGAAAUAGAGCGAAUUGAAGAUGAAGUGAGUAGGUGUUUUAUGUGUGAUAAUGAUAAUGAUGAUCCUGAUGGUAAUUCAGUAGGUAGCUCUCCCGAAACCGAAUCACAGACCUUGUAAGUUUUGGAAGGUUAUUAUAUACAAAUGAAAUGCCUUUACAUCGGCC